Molecule: ribosomal RNA, 244 nt
Filed under: uncultured bacterium
Lineage: Bacteria
Description: partial 16S ribosomal RNA
Rfam family: Bacterial small subunit ribosomal RNA
Source: RNAcentral
GACGAAGGGGGCUAGCGUUGUUCGGAAUUACUGGGCGUAAAGCGCGUGUAGGCGGUUGUUCAAGUCAGGUGUGAAAGCCUUGAGCUCAACUCAAGAAAUGCACUUGAUACUGGAUGACUAGAGGACCGGAGAGGAUAGUGGAAUUCCCAGUGUAGUGGUGAAAUACGUAGAGAUUGGGAAGAACACCAGUGGCGAAGGCGGCUAUCUGGACGGUUUCUGACGCUAAGACGCGAAAGCGUGGGGA